This 680-nucleotide ribosomal RNA is filed under the name uncultured Actinomycetes bacterium. RNAcentral describes it as "bacterial SSU rRNA". It matches the Rfam family "Bacterial small subunit ribosomal RNA", at positions 67 to 763 of the family's 1533-position model. The record is from RNAcentral. Lineage: Bacteria; Bacillati; Actinomycetota; Actinomycetes.
CGGUGAAGCCCUUCGGGGUGGAUCAGUGGCGAACGGGUGAGUAACACGUGGGCAAUCUGCCCUGCAUUCUGGGACAAGCCUUGGAAACGAGGUCUAAUACCGGAUACGACGCAUCCCCGCAUGGGGUGUGCGUGGAAAGCUCCGGCGAUGCAGGAUGAGCCCGCGGCCUAUCAGCUUGUUGGUGGGGUAAUGGCCUACCAAGGCGACGACGGGUAGCCGGCCUGAGAGGGCGACCGGCCACACUGGGACUGAGACACGGCCCAGACUCCUACGGGAGGCAGCAGUGGGGAAUAUUGCACAAUGGGCGAAAGCCUGAUGCAGCGACGCCGCGUGAGGGAUGACGGCCUUCGGGUUGUAAACCUCUUUCAGCAGGGAAGAAGCGCAAGUGACGGUACCUGCAGAAGAAGCACCGGCUAACUACGUGCCAGCAGCCGCGGUAAUACGUAGGGUGCGAGCGUUGUCCGGAAUUAUUGGGCGUAAAGAGCUCGUAGGCGGCCUGUCACGUCGGAUGUGAAAGCCCGGGGCUUAACUCCGGGUCUGCAUUCGAUACGGGCAGGCUAGAGUGUGGUAGGGGAGAUCGGAAUUCCUGGUGUAGCGGUGAAAUGCGCAGAUAUCAGGAGGAACACCGGUGGCGAAGGCGGAUCUCUGGGCCAUUACUGACGCUGAGGAGCGAAAGCGUG